UGAACGAAUUCAGACUGUGA
Molecule: non-coding RNA, 20 nt
Filed under: Arabidopsis thaliana (thale cress)
Lineage: Eukaryota; Viridiplantae; Streptophyta; Magnoliopsida; Brassicales; Brassicaceae
Source: RNAcentral